RNAcentral lists this ribosomal RNA (441 nucleotides) under uncultured bacterium. Its description in RNAcentral is "partial 16S ribosomal RNA". It matches the Rfam family "Bacterial small subunit ribosomal RNA", at positions 339 to 795 of the family's 1533-position model. The record is from RNAcentral.
CUACGGGAGGCUGCAGUGGGGAAUAUUGGGCAAUGGGCGCAAGCCUGACCCAGCAACGCCGCGUGAGGGAAGAAGGUUUUCGGAUUGUGAACCUCUGUCCUUGGGGACGAAGAAGUGACGGUACCCAAGGAGGAAGCUCCGGCUAACUACGUGCCAGCAGCCGCGGUAAUACGUAGGGAGCAAGCGUUGUCCGGAAUUACUGGGCGUAAAGGGUGCGUAGGCGGCAUAUUAAGUCAGGUGUGAAAUACUCGGGCUCAACCCGGGGGCUGCAUUUGAAACUGAUAUACUUGAGUGUGAGAGAGGAAAGUGGAAUUCCUAGUGUAGCGGUGGAAUGCGUAGAUAUUAGGAGGAACACCAGUGGCGAAGGCGACUUUCUGGCUCAUAACUGACGCUGAGGCACGAAAGCGUGGGGAGCAAACAGGAUUAGAUACCCCAGUAGUC